Molecule: ribosomal RNA, 253 nt
Filed under: uncultured bacterium
Lineage: Bacteria
Description: partial 16S ribosomal RNA
Rfam family: Bacterial small subunit ribosomal RNA
Source: RNAcentral
UACGUAGGGGGCAAGCGUUGUCCGGAUUUAUUGGGCGUAAAGAGCGUGUAGGCGGCCUGGUAGGUCAGCUGUGAAAACUCGAGGCUCAACCUCGAGACGCCGGUUGAAACCAUCAGGCUAGAGUCCGGAAGAGGAGAGUGGAAUUCCCGGUGUAGCGGUGAAAUGCGCAGAUAUCGGGAAGAACACCCGUGGCGAAGGCGGCUCUCUGGGACGGUACUGACGCUGAGACGCGAAAGCGUGGGGAGCGAACAGG